CUGCAAAAGCAGGUAUGUCGGCUGUCCUGCAGCGCGUCGAGCGGCUGUCCAGUCGGGUGGUGCGCGUCCUGGGCUGUAACCCGGGACCCAUGACCCUGCAGGGCACCAACACCUACUUGGUAGAGAUCGGCACCAGGAGAAUCCUCAUUGACACUGGAGAACCAGCAAUUCCAGAAUAUAUCAGCUGUUUAAAGCAGGCUCUGACUGAAUUUAACGCAGCAAUCCAGGAAAUCAUGGUGACUCAUUGGCACCGUGAUCAUACUGGGGGCAUAGGAGAUAUUUUUAAAAGCAUCAGUAAUGACACUGCAUAUUGCAUUAAAAAACUCCCACGGAAUCCUCCAAGAGAAGAAAUUAUAGGAGAUGGAAAGCAACAAUAUGUUUAUCUGGAAGAUGGAGAUGUGAUUAAAACUGAAGGUGCCACUCUCAGAGUUAUACACACACCUGGCCACACUGAUGAUCAUAUCGCUCUACUUUUAGAAGAGGAGAAUGCGAUCUUUUCUGGAGAUUGCAUCCCAGGGGAAGGAACAACUAUAUUUGAAGACCUCUAUGAUUAUAUGAACUCCCUAAAAAAGCUACUGAAAGUCAAAGCUGAUAUUAUAUAUCCAGGACAUGGCCCAGUAAUUCAUAACGCUGAAGCUAAAAUUCUAGAAUACAUUUCUCACAGAAAUAUCCGAGAACAGCAAAUUCUUACAUUAUCCAAACUAGGAACCAGUGAAUGCUACGAACACUCGGCUGGAUAUAAGGAAGAAUUUCUAAAUGAUGCCCAAAGUGUAACAGGCUGUUUCCAAAAGACAGUGAAUGAACUGUUCAUCCCUGGGAAAGUUCAACAUGAAAGUGAUGAGAAUACCAAAUUUUCAUCUUUGAAGAAGAAAGCUCUCAAUUACUGGAAGACAUCCAAAUCUGGAGGGACAAAUACCGCUCUGGUAAAGACCGUAAGAAGAGCUGGAGGAGGAGAGGACAAAGAGAAACAUCUCCACUUGGAAGAAAAGUGCAUCAGUAUAAAAAUGUGGCAUGUCAACCAUAUCUCGUGCAAAGAUCUUCCGAAUGCGCAGGUUUUAUAUAACUUUCCUGCCAAUAGUAGCAACAUAAUCCAAACACAGAGCAAGUUCGAUUUUAUGAGCCGCUAA
Molecule: non-coding RNA, 1127 nt
Organism: Leptonychotes weddellii (Weddell seal)
Lineage: Eukaryota; Metazoa; Chordata; Mammalia; Carnivora; Phocidae
Source: RefSeq, a predicted model, not a curated record